GACGAACGCUGGCGGCGUGCCUAAUACAUGCAAGUCGAACGCAGUGGGGACGGGUGAGUAACACGUGGGUAACCUCCCAUCAGAGGGGAUAACACUUGGAAACAGGUGCUAAACCGAUACUGAUGGAUGGACCCGCGGGGCAUUAGCUAGUUGGUGAGGUAACGGCUCACCAAGGCCACGAUGAAUAGCGGGCCUGAGAGGAUGACCGGCCACACUGGGACUGAGACACGGCCCAGACUCCUACGGGAGGCAGCAGUGGGGAAUCUUGCGCAAUGGACGAAAGUCUGACGGAGCAACGCCGCGUGAGUGAAGAAGGUUUUCGGGUCGUAAAACACUGUUGUUAGAGAGGCGUUAUCUAACCAGAAAGCCACGGCUAACUACGUGCCAGCAGCCGCGGUAAUAC
RNAcentral lists this ribosomal RNA (403 nucleotides) under uncultured bacterium. RNAcentral describes it as "partial 16S ribosomal RNA". It matches the Rfam family "Bacterial small subunit ribosomal RNA", at positions 28 to 526 of the family's 1533-position model. The record is from RNAcentral.